AUGGGAGAGGGAAAGACUCACAUCAUCAUCAUCGUAAUCGGACACGUAGACUCUGGCAAGUCCACCACAACUGGCCACCUGAUCUACAAAUGUGGUGGGAUCGACAAACAAACCAUCGAGAAGUUUGAGAAGGAGGCUGCUGAGAUGGGAAAGGGCUCCUUCAAGUACGCCUGGGUCUUGGACAAACUGAAAGCAGAGUGUGAGUGUGGUAUCACUAUUGACAUCUCCCUGUGGAAAUUUGAGACCAGCAAAUACUAUGUGACCAUCAUUGAUGCCCCAGGACACAGAGAUUUCAUCAAAAACAUGAUUAUAGGCACAUCCCAGGCUGACUGUGCUGUCCUGAUUGUUGCUGCUGGUGUUGGUGAAUUUGAAGCUGGUAUCUCCAAGAAUGGGCAGACCCGUGAGCAUGCUCUUCUGGCUUACACCCUGGGUGUGAAACAGCUGAUUGUUGGUGUCAACAAAAUGGAUUCCACCGAGCCACCUUACAGUCAGAAGAGAUACGAGGAAAUCGUUAAGGAAGUCAGCACCUACAUUAAGAAAAUUGGCUACAACCCCUGACACAGUAGCAUUUGUGCCAAUUUCUGGUUGGAAUGGUGACAACAUGCUGGAGCCAAGUGCUAAUAUGCCUUGGUUCAAGGGAUGCAAAGUCACCCGCAAAGAUGGCAGUGCCAGUGGCACCACGCUGCUGGAAGCUUUGGACUGCAUCCUACCGCCAACUCGUCCAACUGACAAGCCUCUGCGACUGCCCCUCCAAGAUGUCUAUAAAAUUGGGGGCAUUGGCACUGCCCCUGUGGGCUGAGUGGAGACUGGUGUUCUCAAACCCGGCAUGGUGGUUACCUUUGCUCCAGUCAAUGUAACAACUGAAGUCAAGUCUGUUGAAAUGCACCAUGAAGUUUUGAGUGAAGCUCUUCCUGGGGACAAUGUGGGCUUCAAUGUA
This is an RNA transcript of Mus pahari (shrew mouse), 937 nucleotides long. It is a transcript of the gene named elongation factor 1-alpha 1 pseudogene, with no coding region annotated. Lineage: Eukaryota; Metazoa; Chordata; Mammalia; Rodentia; Muridae. The record is from RefSeq and is a predicted model, not a curated record. The transcript has a single exon.